This 649-nucleotide ribosomal RNA is filed under the name uncultured bacterium. RNAcentral's name for it is "bacterial SSU rRNA". It matches the Rfam family "Bacterial small subunit ribosomal RNA", at positions 143 to 807 of the family's 1533-position model. The record is from RNAcentral.
AUAACAGUGAGAAAUCAUUGCUAAUACCGCAUAUGCCAUGAACAUCACAUGAUGAAAAUGGGAAAAGAGUAAUCUGCUAGUAGAUGGGCUCGCGUCUGAUUAGAUAGUUGGUGGGGUAACGGCCUACCAAGUCGACGAUCAGUAGCCGGACUGAGAGGUUGAACGGCCACAUUGGGACUGAGAUACGGCCCAGACUCCUACGGGAGGCAGCAGCCGGGAAUACUGCGCAAUGGAGGAAACUCUGACGCAGUGACGCCGCGUAUAGGAAGAAGGUUUUCGGAUUGUAAACUAUUGUCGUUAGGGAAGAUACAAGACAGUACCUAAGGAGGAAGCUCCGGCUAACUACGUGCCAGCAGCCGCGGUAAUACGUAGGGAGCAAGCGUUAUCCGGAUUUAUUGGGUGUAAAGGGUGCGUAGACGGGACAACAAGUUAGUUGUGAAAUCCCUCGGCUUAACUGAGGAACUGCAACUAAAACUAUUGUUCUUGAGUGUUGGAGAGGAAAGUGGAAUUCCUAGUGUAGCGGUGAAAUGCGUAGAUAUUAGGAGGAACACCGGUGGCGAAGGCGACUUUCUGGACAAUAACUGACGUUGAGGCACGAAAGUGUGGGGAGCAAACAGGAUUAGAUACCCUGGUAGUCCACACCGUAAAC